UACAGAGGGUGCGAGCGUUAAUCGGAAUUACUGGGCGUAAAGCGUGCGUAGACGGUUAUUUAAGUCGGAUGUGAAAGCCCCGGGCUCAACCUGGGAAUUGCAUUCGAGACUGAAUAGCUAGGGUGCGGUAGAGGGAAGCGGAAUUUCCGGUGUAGCGGUGAAAUGCGCAGAUAUCAGGAAGAACACCCGUGGCGAAGGCGGCUCUCUGGGACGGUACUGACGCUGAGACGCGAAAGCGUGGGGAGCGAACAGG
RNAcentral lists this ribosomal RNA (253 nucleotides) under uncultured bacterium. RNAcentral describes it as "partial 16S ribosomal RNA". It matches the Rfam family "Bacterial small subunit ribosomal RNA", at positions 524 to 776 of the family's 1533-position model. The record is from RNAcentral.